This 31-nucleotide non-coding RNA is filed under the name Rattus norvegicus (Norway rat). Lineage: Eukaryota; Metazoa; Chordata; Mammalia; Rodentia; Muridae. The record is from RNAcentral.
AGGGCAUCUGUAAAGAAUAGUUUAGCACAAC